Long non-coding RNA from Portunus trituberculatus (swimming crab), 222 nucleotides. RefSeq lists it as uncharacterized. The record is from RefSeq and is a predicted model, not a curated record. Lineage: Eukaryota; Metazoa; Arthropoda; Malacostraca; Decapoda; Portunidae. The transcript has 2 exons.
CAAUACCAGAGGACGCCAAGGAUUCGCAGAGACGCUGAAUCUUUAAUCUGGAAUGGAACACGAUCUGAUAACGCACAUGUGGUUCAAUUUUGGGGAAAGUAGGAUAUCGUCCUUCCUCAGAAUCUGACACCUAUCGGUGUCAGUCAUCCUUCUUAAAUGAGGAAUGAAAAUAAAAAGAAAAUAAAGCAAAAUGUAUAGAUUAAUAAAUCUGUGAUCCUGAAA